Molecule: unclassified non-coding RNA, 1179 nt
Filed under: Hevea brasiliensis (rubber tree)
Lineage: Eukaryota; Viridiplantae; Streptophyta; Magnoliopsida; Malpighiales; Euphorbiaceae
Source: RNAcentral
CUUCAAUUUAUUAAAAUAAAAUCAUUGAACUUUAAUUUUAUUUCAAAAAACUCCUCUUCACCAAUAAUAAUUGGUUUGCCGAUUAUGUUGUCAAUUUGAUAUCAUUUUUCUCUUUUUGAAAAAAUGGACGGACUAAACUGCCCCUCAUCUACCUACCCCUCCCUUCUUUUAUUGCAACCCACUUGGAUGCUCCUCCUCCUCUCCAUUUUCUAUCCCUUUGCUCCCUCUCCAAAUCCUCCGCUAAAAAGCCAUGUUGCGAGACUAAUUUGAAACUCAGCUAUGUCCCUAAGGCUAAAACAGCUUUUUCACCAUGCAGCCCAGUCUUCACCCCGUAGCCAGCCUCCCUUCCCUCCAUUUUUGAUCUAUACCUCCCACUCUAAUUCUCCUCCUUAAACCAUUUCAAGAAAGCUUUCACUUAAACCAUUCCUUCUUCCUGCACUUCUUUUUUGUUCUUGGUUAUUCAGUGCCUCAAUGCCAUAUGCACAACCCUCCUCUGUCCUUGUGGUGCUUCUACUUGACGCCAUAUUCGUGAAGAUGAAGACUCAGGUCGUGAAGCAAAGACCCAGUUCCCCAUGACAUAGACCCAUCCACAAAUGUUUGAACAGAACCAUCAAACGAGUAAAUUACCCUCCAUCUAAUGCAACAUAUUAUAUAUUAUAGCUCAUUGUCAAUGCCAUUUCCACAACGACACUCUCACUACUAGUGGAUCCUAUUCUUGCUCGCCUAUACCAGCUCAUUAUCAAUAUUGUUUGUUUGUUAUUUACUUGGCAAAUUGGGACUUGGUUUUGUUGAGAUUUAUUUGGUUGAUUUGUUAUGUUUUUACUCUUCUAAGAUCUUAGCAUAAUUUAUGUAUUGUUCAGAUUUAUUGUGCAGAAUUAUGUUUUGAUUUUGUUGGGUGUUGAUAUAUUAUGCUGAUUCUUUAGAUAGUGUACCUUCCUUAUUUAUGAUGUUCUUAUAGUAUGUUAAGGGAUCAAAUAAUUUUUUCCCUACUUGUUUUUAUGGCAUUCCUUCGUUUUAUGAGUACCAAAAUCUUUGCAGUUAAGGUGAUUGGUUAAUGCUCUCUCCCAUGCGCUAUAUAGUGGAAGAUUGCACUAUAUUAAUUUUUAAUAAGCUAUUUGGAGGAGUUAUUCUCACUGUGGUGUGAAUUUUUCCAUUUUACCACCUGCGUGAAGUGUAAUU